Molecule: ribosomal RNA, 253 nt
Filed under: uncultured bacterium
Lineage: Bacteria
Description: partial 16S ribosomal RNA
Rfam family: Bacterial small subunit ribosomal RNA
Source: RNAcentral
UACGUAGGGGGCAAGCGUUGUCCGGAUUUAUUGGGCGUAAAGAGCGUGUAGGCGGCUAGAUAGGUCCGUUGUGAAAACUCGAGGCUCAACCUCGAGACGCCGAUGGAAACCAUCCAGCUAGAGUCCGGAAGAGGAGAGUGGAAUUCCCAGUGUAGCGGUGAAAUGCGUAGAUACUGGGAGGAACACCGGUGGCGAAGGCGGCUACCUGGACCGGUUCUGACACUGAUGCGCGAAAGCGUGGGUAGCAAACAGG